UACGAAGGGGGCUAGCGUUGCUCGGAAUUCCUGGGCGUAAAGCGCACGUAGGCGGAUUGUUAAGUCGGGGGUGAAAUCCUGGAGCUCAACUCCAGUACUGCCUUCGAUACUGGCGAUCUCGAGUCCGGGAGAGGUGAGUGGAACUGCGAGUGUAGAGGUGAAAUUCGUAGAUAUUCGCAAGAACACCAGUGGCGAAGGCGGCUCACUGGCCCGGUACUGACGCUGAGGUGCGAAAGCGUGGGGAGCAAACAGG
This 253-nucleotide ribosomal RNA is filed under the name uncultured bacterium. RNAcentral describes it as "partial 16S ribosomal RNA". It matches the Rfam family "Bacterial small subunit ribosomal RNA", at positions 524 to 776 of the family's 1533-position model. The record is from RNAcentral.